Pteropus alecto (black flying fox) is the source of this 550-nucleotide long non-coding RNA. RefSeq lists it as uncharacterized. The transcript has 2 exons. The record is from RefSeq and is a predicted model, not a curated record. Lineage: Eukaryota; Metazoa; Chordata; Mammalia; Chiroptera; Pteropodidae.
GGCUUUUUUUUCCUUGCUUUUUCCCCCCCUUUCUCCCACCCCCUUCUCUGCUGAUCCCCGAGACCUGCGUUUUCCUGGGGGUCCGAAACUCUGGAUCCAAGGCAUGAGCCACCCCCUCAGGACAACUCGUAUCUCAUCAGAGAACCCCCUUGCCCAUGUCCACCCAUAAGCAGAUGGCCUCCAACCCCCACCCUAGGAGGAUUUCUGAAUGGGGUGAAAAUGCCAGUCCCCGAAGCCAGGGUUUCCGGACCCCAAGGGCCGAGCUGGGCGCGGGAGCCCCGCAGGGGCGCAGAGGCCGCCGAGCUUGAAGAAGUGGAGGAGAGAUCUACACAACUUAAAUGGGUCGUCCCCAUCCCAUCUUCCUACUCACCCUCCUUUGCACUCAACUCCAUCUCAGAGACACUCACUCUGCCCCCCCCCAAUAAAAAGAAGUCACCCCCUCUUCAGUCUGCAGAGAGCCAGGGUGAGAGCAGGCAAGGCGAGAGAGCGACCUCGGUCGUGGGCAAGUAGCUUGUUUUUACGUCCUUCAAUAAAAUUUUUAUGAGGAUCA